This 74-nucleotide transfer RNA is filed under the name Triticum aestivum (bread wheat). It matches the Rfam family "tRNA". Rfam says of the family: Transfer RNA (tRNA) molecules are approximately 80 nucleotides in length. Their secondary structure includes four short double-helical elements and three loops (D, anti-codon, and T loops). The record is from Rfam by way of RNAcentral. Lineage: Eukaryota; Viridiplantae; Streptophyta; Magnoliopsida; Poales; Poaceae.
GGUGGAGUAGCUCAGUUGUUUAGAGCGCGUGGCUGUUAACCACAAGCUCGGAGGUUCGAGCCCUCCUUCUAGCG